This 450-nucleotide ribosomal RNA is filed under the name uncultured bacterium. RNAcentral's name for it is "bacterial SSU rRNA". It matches the Rfam family "Bacterial small subunit ribosomal RNA", at positions 330 to 793 of the family's 1533-position model. The record is from RNAcentral.
ACCAGACUCCUACGGGAGGCAGCAGUGGGGAAUAUUGGACAAUGGGGGGAACCCUGAUCCAGCGACGCCGCGUGAGUGAAGAAGUAUUUCGGUGUGUAAAGCUCUAUCAGCAGGGAAGAAAGAAAUGACGGUACCUGACUAAGAAGCCCCGGCUAACUACGUGCCAGCAGCCGCGGUAAUACGUAGGGGGCAAGCGUUAUCCGGAUUUACUGGGUGUAAAGGGAGCGUAGACGGCAAUGCAAGUCUGGAGUGAAAGGCCGGGGCCCAACCCCCGGACUGCUCUGGAAACUGUAUAGCUGGAGUGCAGGAGAGGUAAGUGGAAUUCCUAGUGUAGCGGUGAAAUGCGUAGAUAUUAGGAGGAACACCAGUGGCGAAGGCGGCUUACUGGACUGUAACUGACGUUGAGGCUCGAAAGCGUGGGGAGCAAACAGGAUUAGAUACCCCGGUAAG